Long non-coding RNA from Jaculus jaculus (lesser Egyptian jerboa), 2585 nucleotides. RefSeq lists it as uncharacterized. NCBI's taxonomy places the organism in Eukaryota, Metazoa, Chordata, Mammalia, Rodentia, Dipodidae. The record is from RefSeq and is a predicted model, not a curated record. The transcript has 3 exons.
GGAGGACCAAUCAGCAGAUGAUGCUAGAGAAGCCUCAGUUGAGAAGGGUCUCAUUAGACCAUCCAUGUGAGAAGAAUGAAAAAUUCUGCACUUGCUCAAUGAAUUCUCAUCUUCCCUUCCUCGCACACCAAAGAGGCUUCAAAGUCCACCCUUGAAACAGAAGGAACAUCUGGGGAAAAUGAUUUCCAGGCCACUCAGUGCCCCACAGGCUAAUGGAACCUCUCUGCAGUGGGCCAGCAUUAUCACCUCUGCAGGGCACUGCCUGCAUCUCCAGGGCCAGCCUCCACAAAACAACUGGCCAGGAUGCCCCCAAGCCCUGGGCCCAUUGUAGCACACUUUGUUGCUUAAAAGAGAAUAUGUUGUAUGUGUCUGCUUUGGGGCUUUGGGAUUUAACUGAAGAACUAUGAGGCAUCAGGCACAAAUUAAGUGACUGUAACAUAAUGUCCCCUUCUGUCCUUUUUUCUACCAUUCUUCUGGUUCCUGGAAAGUGUGGAGAUCAGGAUGAGGUUUGCAGCAGGGAAAAGAUGACAAGGUGAGAAGGUCCUCCUGAGUACAUGCCACGGGCAGCCUCUUGUUGCUUAAGGAGUUCCAUGGAGUCCCUAGGAAUACAAACGCUUGGACCUUCCAAUGCCCAGGCCUCCUUUCCAAGGCGAGGACUUUGUAUUCAGUAGUCAAAGGUACAAAGUGGAACUCAAACCCUCACGUCUGAGACACGUCUGCUAGACAUCAAGACUGUGAAGACAUCAAGGGGAAGGGUAUCAGUACUCCAUUAAAGGGAUGACUUUUUCCCGUGUGGGAUGCUUUACAGCCAUGGAACAUGCCCAACAUAUUAAUGACACAAACUCCUUGCUGCAAAUGAACACUUGGACACAUUGUGGAGCUGUUGGAGGAGAUGUGCACAGAGCCAGAGCCCAGAGAUGAGUGUGCAAACACCGGCUGUUUCCAACUAGCUCAGAAGAUGAAGCCAGUCAUCAGAUCCACCCACCCUCAGAUCCUUAAUGAAUGAGGUUCUGUGCAGAAACUUCCCACAGGCCCAGGAUGCCAAUACAGCUGGAGGAACUGGGAGGAUGACACAAAUGGUCUGUAAAGUGGGUGAAGCUACCUGAAGCAUUUACAAGCCAAUGGACUCAAACUGUGUGCUGCUUCUGUGGUUUAUAGUAGUUCUGCUUUUUAUUAUGAAAAUAUUAUGAGUAAUAGCAAGAUUUUAAAGUUAAGGAACAGGAUGUUCAUAAUCUCAUCUUAACAACUUUCUUUUCCUACUUCUAGUAACUUGUGCAAACAAGCUCACAUGGUUAUAACUGGGUUAUAGACCAUCCAUUUUCUUUAGGAUUCUCAUGUUAGACUGGUAAGUAUGGCUUCUUAGAGGAAAGCAAUUAUUAGAGAACAAGCCACUAUAGCUCAGGAGGCCUAUGCAAUCCAAACCAGGGGCGCUGUGGUUGUCAUACUCGCUAACAACUGACCUAAUAUGAAAGAGCAUAACUUAUACAUAUCCCUUUACAAAUACUCUGGAUGCAGUUGAACCUGCUUCUUGAUCUAUAAGAAAACUCUACUUCCUACGUCAACAAAUCAAGUAGAGCCAGUAUGCAAGUCCAGUUCAUAUAAUAAUUGAUAUUGAAACUGAGUUGCAUGGAUAGAGAAUAAAACAGUAUUUACUUUGCAUAAAUAUCACCAGCGACAGCCUAGACAGAUAGCUUGCAUUGUGAGAUGCAUAUGAGCCACUGGAGUAAACGUUGUCUUUAUUAAAAGAAACAAACAUCCAAUACCAAGGGGUAUUUGGGUCUUUCACAUGUAUAAACCACAAUAUUGUCUCUCUUGAACUGAGUUGAUUUGCUCUUACUAAAAUAACUGUUCUCAAAAGCUCUCAUAGUCACAUAUAAAAUCAUGUGCAUGAAACCUUGAUAGCUAGGGUUGAAAGCUACCUCUGACUACAUCACACCUAUAAAACAUUGUCUUGAUGGGAUUGGAUCAUGUGACUUCAUUAAUCAGACUUGAUAGUCAUACCUCAGAAGCCACCCCUCUAUAUCUGUGGGGUUCCACAUUUGUGGAUUCAGCCAUCUGUUGAUAAAAAUAAAAGUUUUCAGAAAGAUACAAAAGGUGGAUUCACCAUAUGCUGAGUGCAUUGCUGAAUCCAAAGGAAUGAAGUGAUCUAAGGCAUUGCAUCAUGCAGUACAAGUAAGAGAGAGAAUUCAAAGUAUGCCAAGUGGCACAUAGGUUAGAUAUGGGCACUGCAUAAUUUAAGUGGAGAUGAUCAUCCUGAGAGUUUGGCACUGACAAGGAGUCCUAGAAUCAGUUACUUGAAGAUACUGAGAAAUGACUAUAAUCUCUGAUAUCAGAUAUACAUAUAUGGUAUCUCUCAGAGUGUGUGUCUAUUAGGAACUGGCUUGACAUUCAGUUCCAUGUCAUGGCCUGCAGUGGGCCCAAGGUUGAUGGACCAACCACUGUGGGAAUAUUGGUGGUGUCUGUGGAGGAGGAGGAAGUUGUUAUGGCUACUCUGCUAUGGUUUCCAUAUGAAAUGUCUCCUACAACCUCAUGUAUUUGAAUACAUGGUCCCUGGAUAUAGUGCUAUUUGGGAAACUGCAACUUUU